RNAcentral lists this non-coding RNA (23 nucleotides) under Arabidopsis thaliana (thale cress). Lineage: Eukaryota; Viridiplantae; Streptophyta; Magnoliopsida; Brassicales; Brassicaceae. The record is from RNAcentral.
UAGAUUAGUUGGAACGAUUGAUG